Molecule: long non-coding RNA, 515 nt
Organism: Phyllostomus discolor (pale spear-nosed bat)
Lineage: Eukaryota; Metazoa; Chordata; Mammalia; Chiroptera; Phyllostomidae
Exons: 2
Source: RefSeq, a predicted model, not a curated record
UUAGUGAACCACUCUUAAGAUAUAUGUAUUUAAAAAUUUUUUUAUUGUUCCUUUUAAUGAUUCUUAUGGCUUGGGCAGAAAUCUGAAGUGUCUUUUAUUCUGUCUACCUUUCUCAGUGUUGCCAAGUUUACCCUUUGCACCACCAACACUGGGGUAGAUGCUUGCUUACUGAAGAGGGAUUGCUGUUCAUUGGUGUUUUGGGAACCUGUAUGUUCAAGGAUGUGGCCAUGGACCUAACCAAGGAGGAGUGGGGGCAACUGGACCCUGCACAGAGGGCCCCGUACAAAGAGUUCAGUGGCAUUUAAUACAUCAAAGGAUUGUAUAAUUACCUUCUCUGUCAAGUUCCAAAGCAUUUUCAUCACCCCAAAAGGAGAUACUGCAGUUCUGCAUCCAGACCACCAUAAUAAAGUGAGUGUAACAAUAAAAUGAGUCAUAAUCUUUUUGUUGGUGGAGGGUGUUGCCUUGAGCUUGUAAAAAACGCAACACCUGGUAAGUGCAAUAAAGCAGUGCAAUAA